This 931-nucleotide long non-coding RNA is filed under the name Triticum aestivum (bread wheat). Its description in RNAcentral is "long non-coding RNA (TAES_LNC017749)". Lineage: Eukaryota; Viridiplantae; Streptophyta; Magnoliopsida; Poales; Poaceae. The record is from RNAcentral.
CAUCAUCUGUGGUGAGAUUACUGCGACGUGGGGAAAGCAUCUGUGCAUCAAGCACGGCACCUGCAACAAGCCGUGCCGGGCAGAGGGGUACGACUCAGGCUACUGCGCCCCAUUCCCCUGGUCGACCUACUGCUGCUGCAAAAAUAAUUGUGGCGAGUCUGUGCAACCUCACAGGAGCAGCUUUAUAUGCGGUGAUAAUAGUCUACAUUAUUAACUAAGUAUACAUACCAUGUAUGGAUGCAUACAAGGUUAGUGAAAUAAAUCUCAUUUCCAGCCGUGUGUGUACCUACCUGUAGAAGGGAAAAAUAACCGUUCUCAUAAUGUGUGGGAACUGCUAUUUCCAAUUGAUGAAGAACUGCCUACCAAGUUACAUACCGUCAGUUCAUCAUAACCUAGAAGAUAGCAUCAAGACAACUAGCAAGCAAAGAUCCACAUGCAGCGACGUGGGAAGAUGGGUGGUGGAGCAAGGCCGGUUCCAGAGGAAGCUGUACCUAAGGGUCAUCGGGAUGUAACUAGGAGGGCAGCGGCAGCGGGUUCUGCCCAUACUGUGGCAGCGAGCAAGGGGCAAAGGCAAUACCGCGCUGAAGCUUGCUUAGAGAGAAUGGUGGGUACCGCAGAAUGGGACGCGCCGGCAGUGGGUUUCCUGCAUUGACGCCGUUGACCGAAGCAACGUUGCACAUCGUCCCUUUCCGCCGGCGGGCUGGAUCCGGCCGGAUCAGGGACCAGCGGUGAGAGAGAGAGAGAGAGUGAGAGAGUGGGCACCGCCAUCUUGUGUGAGAUAGUAGAAGAGACCGACCCCAGAAAGCAAGCAUUGAGUAUCCUGCCUAUAUUAUAUAGUAUAGUUUAGUGGAGCGAUUUUAUUUUUUUCUCUCCAUAACAAUUGAUUUAUAUUCUGUACAUGCGCCAUCGAGGAAUAAAAUCUUUUUUUAAA